Molecule: ribosomal RNA, 1352 nt
Filed under: uncultured bacterium
Lineage: Bacteria
Description: bacterial SSU rRNA
Rfam family: Bacterial small subunit ribosomal RNA
Source: RNAcentral
AUUGAACGCUGGCGGCAUGCCUUACACAUGCAAGUCGAACGGCAGCACGGAGCUUGCUCUGGUGGCGAGUGGCGAACGGGUGAGUAAUAUAUCGGAACGUACCCUAGAGUGGGGGAUAACGUAGCGAAAGUUACGCUAAUACCGCAUACGAUCUAAGGAUGAAAGUGGGGGAUCGCAAGACCUCAUGCUCGUGGAGCGGCCGAUAUCUGAUUAGCUAGUUGGUAGGGUAAAAGCCUACCAAGGCAUCGAUCAGUAGCUGGUCUGAGAGGACGACCAGCCACACUGGAACUGAGACACGGUCCAGACUCCUACGGGAGGCAGCAGUGGGGAAUUUUGGACAAUGGGCGAAAGCCUGAUCCAGCAAUGCCGCGUGAGUGAAGAAGGCCUUCGGGUUGUAAAGCUCUUUUGUCAGGGAAGAAACGGUGAGAGCUAAUAUCUCUUGCUAAUGACGGUACCUGAAGAAUAAGCACCGGCUAACUACGUGCCAGCAGCCGCGGUAAUACGUAGGGUGCAAGCGUUAAUCGGAAUUACUGGGCGUAAAGCGUGCGCAGGCGGUUUUGUAAGUCUGAUGUGAAAUCCCCGGGCUCAACCUGGGAAUUGCAUUGGAGACUGCAAGGCUAGAAUCUGGCAGAGGGGGGUAGAAUUCCACGUGUAGCAGUGAAAUGCGUGGAUAUGUGGAGGAACACCGAUGGCGAAGGCAGCCCCCUGGGUCAAGAUUGACGCUCAUGCACGAAAGCGUGGGGAGCAAACAGGAUUAGAUACCCUGGUAGUCCACGCCCUAAACGAUGUCUACUAGUUGUCGGGUCUUAAUUGACUUGGUAACGCAGCUAACGCGCGAAGUAGACCGCCUGGGGAGUACGGUCGCAAGAUUAAAGCUCAAAGGAAUUGACGGGGACCCGCACAAGCGGUGGAUGAUGUGGAUUAAUUCGAUGCAACGCGAAAAACCUUACCUACCCUUGACAUGGCUGGAAUCCUCGAGAGAUUGAGGAGUGCUCGAAAGAGAACCAGUACACAGGUGCUGCAUGGCUGUCGUCAGCUCGUGUCGUGAGAUGUUGGGUUAAGUCCCGCAACGAGCGCAACCCUUGUCAUUAGUUGCUACGAAAGGGCACUCUAAUGAGACUGCCGGUGACAAACCGGAGGAAGGUGGGGAUGACGUCAAGUCCUCAUGGCCCUUAUGGGUAGGGCUUCACACGUCAUACAAUGGUACAUACAGAGCGCCGCCAACCCGCGAGGGGGAGCUAAUCGCAGAAAGUGUAUCGUAGUCCGGAUUGUAGUCUGCAACUCGACUGCAUGAAGUUGGAAUCGCUAGUAAUCGCGGAUCAGCAUGUCGCGGUGAAUACGUUCCCGGGUCU